Molecule: unclassified non-coding RNA, 3606 nt
Filed under: Hevea brasiliensis (rubber tree)
Lineage: Eukaryota; Viridiplantae; Streptophyta; Magnoliopsida; Malpighiales; Euphorbiaceae
Source: RNAcentral
AUACUAAUGAUUUAUUUUUAUUCAAAUUGAGAAGAUAAAUUCAGUAUGAAAAAUAAUAUUAAAAUACUUUUCACAACUUAAGACCACAUAGAGAUGGUAAAGAAGUUAUCAAACAGUCAUGCCUCGUAAUAUCUAAGCUUAUCACGUGAGGUUCCUCUCAUGCACCUUCAUAAAUAGCACUAAAUAUAAACUCUAGAUGCAGAACACGUACACGGAUCCAUCCACCAUUCACUUUGCUUUAAAGAUUCGGUGGUUGCACGCCCACGGGAUAUUUGCUUACUUUCUCCUCACCUGCUUCAACAACCUUCUCAAUCUCGGCCUUCUUUUUAUCCUGGUACAUGGCUUCAUUGCUCUCUGGUCUCAAGAUUAAAUGAUUAGUUGAACCCAACUGGUCCUCCAAUGUAGACAGCAUACAGAUUGCUCAAAGAAGAUGACAUGGCCAUGGUCGGAUUUGCCAGUUCCAGGUUGCCAGAAAACAAGAAUAUGAUAGAAAUAAUACAUUGUUCAAGCACAGGAUAGAAUAACUUCCAAACAAUUUAUAUGGUGUUUCUUGUCAUUCAUGCGUUAACCGAACAAAAUUUUGCUUUAAUGAUUAUGUGAUACAAUUCAUCGAAUUGACAAACUAAAAUGAAUUUUUCAUAACCAAAUGAUACAAAUGGAUCGUGAUUAGUGAUUAUGGGAAAGAAAAAAAAAAUUCCAAUGGGUGCAUGGCAUGCAAAUCUGAUUAUUAACCAGUCUCAGCUGCAAUAUACAGACCAGGGCAGGCAACUGAAAUCCUAACCAAAAUAUCUGCCUCUCCUGCAUUUGAGACUCACUCUUUUUCCUUCUAAAGAGAAAUUACAACUGCCUUCUAGCUUCUGUUUCAAGUAAGCAAGAGCAUCUCUCCUCGAAGAGAAAUUGGAAAAAAAAUAAGAUGAAUGCUCUUCAAUGAGAACUUUCAGCUUUUUUAGCUUUAGUGACUCUCCUGGUGCCUGACGUAGAAGCUGCUUACACAGCUUUUUCAAAUUCAAUUUUUUCUCAUCAGUGAUUUUCAUUUCUGGAGUGCUGUCAUGUUUUCGUUUUCCUAAGGAACCAAAAUCAGCAGAAUCCUCAUUAUCAACUUUUUCUUCAUCAACAUUUUCCAUUGCUGGAUUAUCGUCACUUUCCUCUUCUGCUAAGGAAUCAAAACCAGCAGAAUCUAUAUCAUCAGUAGCAGAAUCCUCAUCAUCACUGUUGCUAAAAGAUGUCUUUUUUCCCUGAAAGCGGACACCAGCUACUUUCUUUGGCUGAUCUUUAAUACCCAGUCCUUGCUUUCCAGCUGUGGCUUUGUACUGGAAAUUGUAGAAGCAGAAAAAUUGCAUUAACGGACAGCAAAUUCUACAUUGGCUCACUCCUCCACCGUGCCCCGGUCAAAAUGUAACCUAGCAACUACUAAAAUAUAACUUAUACUUCACUGCACUCAUUUUGCUUUAUUUAGGACAUUCAACAGCACAGCAAGAGAAUCAUAAAUAUAUCAAACAAAACCUAGCAAACAGGAGGGGUCAAAAUUCCAAAGAAAGAAUUUGAAAAGUAAAUACUUGGACAAGUUUGUAAAGGUUCUCCUGAUCUUCUUCAAGGAAUCCAGUCCUCUCAUUAAAAUUUUGAGCAUUUCCAGUUCUAUUUGACUUCUUUGUAGUUUGAGUUCCAAGAAAACCUCCUGAGACAAAUCCUGAUUUAUAGCCCCACCAUUCUUUAGAAACUUGUUCAGCUUUGGAUUCUGCGAAAUGCACUGAAGUCACUUCUUAAACAAUCGACUAAAUGACCAUUUCCAGCUCAAAAUCAAACACUCAUAAUUGUUGAGAAAAUCAAGGAUUUACAACAUUACAUUUACAGAACACAUACAUGAAGGAUAGACUUGAAUAUUCAAAAUGUCAUCACCAUUCACCAAUUAAGAAUAAGUGUUAAACAUAAGAAAAUCUAGAGCUGCAGCAUUGCUUUCACACAAAACAUAAAUAAAGGAUUGAAUUGAACAUUAAAAAACGUAAUUACCAAUUAGAAAGAAGAAAAGUGUCAUAUAUUAAUAUUUUUACCUCCAGGAUAAAAAAUUUCAGUCUCAAAUGCUUCUGCGAACUUCAGUUUAUUUUCCACAUUAGGAUUUGUCUGGGAUGACUCCUCAACCUUUUUGAUCUGCAGGGGAAAAAAAUUUGAACUCAGAACCUUAUUUAAUCCAAAUUGAAUUAGAAAUAUGAAAAAACAUGUCAAGCCCUUUAAAAAGACAAAAAGGACACAGGGAGUAAUCUGUAGCAGACAAUCUGAUGAUCAUCUUGGAGAAUCCAGAUUUUGAAUGAGAUAGUAACAAGCAACCUUCAGCAUUUCAGCCAUAAAAUUCAACAUAUAACACAAUGGAACUAUUGAAUACAUCAGAAUUUCUGCUACUAUUUAACAAAUGUGUAUUCAGCAAUGUUUAGAACUUACUAGAAUUCCUUCAAGAUCCUUUGAAGAAUAAGCAUGGACAAGCUUCCCUCUCUCUCUUUUCUUAUAUCUGAUAACCGUUGGAGAAGAAAAAUAUACAAAAACAUAUGGCAUUAAACAAACAAUUGCUAAUAGACAAGUCAUAGGUGAUAAGCAGAUGCAAUUUACACAACUAAAACUUCAUCCAAAACUAAUUACCAUUGACUACAUAAAUACCAAACUAAUAAGCAGAAUUACAGACACAAAAGUCAAAAACAGCUGCACCUACCUUCCCUGUGGUCGAGUAGCCUUGACAAAUGGUUCUUGAUGAUCACUAGAUAUGCCAGUCUCUGUUUUUUCUUGUGUAUCCUUCUUCUCAACAACUGCUAGUGCGAGAGAUUAUGGUUCUCAGACAAUAAUUAUAACCUAGAUACCUAAUUACUAUGGUAUCAAAAUUCCAAUGUGCCAUACCUUCAUCAGAUGCAUGUGCAGCUUGCACUUUCAAUCUCUUGAGAAUACUAUCAAAUUGAGUAGUAUCAAAUGCCCAAUUGUUUGGCUUCUCUACACCAACACCUGUUUCAAAUUUUGUUUAAAAAAAAAAUGAGCAUGUACUUCCAAGAGGUAAGCAAAAAAAUAAGCUGCCCAACACCUUGCGCGUGUUUCCCUUUGCCAACAGAAGCAUUUCUCUAAGGGAAAUCUCCUCUUCUAGCAUCAUGAGUGAGUAUAUUUGCUUACAUUAACUUGAAAUCUGUUAUUAAAAAAUUCCUACACAUUUUCCAUUGCCACAUAUUUUCUCAUCAACCAAACACGGCAUAACAUAUAGAUUACAAAACAGAACAAAAUAAAGAAAGGAGAAUAUUAAAAAGAAAUUAAAAAAACAAAAAGGAAAACUUGAAUUACCAGUAGUGUCUUGUUUGUUCUUGACUCUGACGUAUCCCUUGAUCCCCUGCUUGUCUUUCCCUAGCCCCUCUCCUUCUUCCCAUCCCAUUUGUUUCAUGAGGCGAAAAGCAGGGGAUGCUCUUGCGACGCCGACAUAGCACAGAGGGGCUUCAGGUGCGGCCAUUUUUGCCGCGUUUGUUUCUUCUUCUUUGUUUCGCUGGCGAGCAGUCGCCCUUUUUAGAAGUAGGAAGAGUGAGGACACAAAUGUUUUGCAGAACUGAGAGAGGCAAAAACCUAGAGAGGGGAGGUGAAAAAAAU